GGUUUUCUUGCAAUUCCAUUAAUGAAUAGGAUUCAUGUAAAUACAUGCAAGAGGCAAAUUUAACCUAGAUUAUUGCCUUUCAUGCCUCUGAAAGAACUUCCAUCUCAUGUUUGUACAGACGAACCACCUAUUAAUUUAGCAAUAUAAAGACUACACGUAGAAAAAAAAAUAGAAUUGUGUUUCAACUCAGACCUGUGGGGAAUGUUCCCAAACUCACAUUUGAUACAGAUUCAGAUGUAACUGCCAGUGCUGUGCCUAUUCCUUUUCAGCAAUGAAAACAAAAUGGCUGAGGAACUCACAGGGAAUUUAUUAUUAUUUCACUGAAGGUUACUCGGAGGACAAAUAAAGAUGCUAUCAGAAUUAAAAAAACUACAAAUAAAAGAUGAUAAUAUACUAUGUAGAAUCCUUAGUACAAUUAACCACUAAUACUGUGUAAUUUAAAUAUUUUUCAAGGUUUGCUGACUCUAUUCCCUGAAGAAGAAGAAGAAGAAAGAGAGUGAUUGUUCAAAUUCAGACUCGUUAUGCAUCUGAUCAAGUACAUUGAAAACAGACUCUGACCAAACCCGACAUACCAGGACACUUCUCUAGGAAGCUGGAAGGGCACAGACAGUGAAGUCCUUUGGUAGCUAAAGACUUCUUACACCAAAGUGCUUAUCCAGGUUUGCCUUGUGUUCCACAGUAACACUAUUUUCCCGAAACAGAAAUGCAAUAUUGAAAAAGAGAAGGGAAGAAGCGUCACACCUCUGAAAUACAUUGCCACUGCUACAGCAGGUGUGUCAGUGCCCAUAGCGAGUGAGCAACGGCUACAGUCUGACCUGAUCUGCUGCUAAUCAGUAAUAUUUUUAUUCAUCUUACACCAUCUCUGAGCUAAAAGUCAGUCUCUGGAGGGAAUAGAAGUAAGGAAAAUACUUAUAAAGAAUGCUCAUUAGA
This 930-nucleotide long non-coding RNA is filed under the name Calidris pugnax (ruff). Its description in RNAcentral is "lncRNA (ENSCPUG00000009101.1)". Lineage: Eukaryota; Metazoa; Chordata; Aves; Charadriiformes; Scolopacidae. The record is from RNAcentral.